Molecule: ribosomal RNA, 402 nt
Filed under: uncultured bacterium
Lineage: Bacteria
Description: bacterial SSU rRNA
Rfam family: Bacterial small subunit ribosomal RNA
Source: RNAcentral
ACUCCUACGGGAGGCAGCAGUGGGGAAUAUUGCACAAUGGGCGCAAGCCUGAUGCAGCAACGCCGUGUGAGUGAAGAAGGUUUUCGGAUCGUAAACUCUGUCCUAAGGGAAGAAAAAAUGACGGUACCUUAGGAGGAAGCCCCGGCUAACUACGUGCCAGCAGCCGCGGUAAUACGUAGGGGGCAAGCGUUAUCCGGAAUCACUGGGCGUAAAGGGUGCGUAGGCGGCUUAGCAAGCCAGGGUGAAAGGCAUUGGCUCAACCAAUGUAAGCCUUUGGAACUGUUAAGCUUGAGUGCAGGAGAGGUAAGUGGAAUUCCUAGUGUAGAGGUGAAAUUCGUAGAUAUUAGGAGGAACACCAGUGGCGAAGGCGACUUACUGGACUGUAACUGACGCUGAUGCACG